GAGUUUGAUCGUGGCUCAGAUUGAACGCUGGCGGCAUGCCUUACACAUGCAAGUCGAACGGCAGCACGGGAGCUUGCUCCUGGUGGCGAGUGGCGAACGGGUGAGUAAUGCCUAGGAAUCUGCCUGGUAGUGGGGGACAACGUUUCGAAAGGAACGCUAAUACCGCAUACGUCCUACGGGAGAAAGCAGGGGACCUUCGGGCCUUGCGCUAUCAGAUGAGCCUAGGUCGGAUUAGCUAGUUGGUGGGGUAAUGGCUCACCAAGGCGACGAUCCGUAACUGGUCUGAGAGGAUGAUCAGUCACACUGGAACUGAGACACGGUCCGGACUCCUACGGGAGGCAGCAGUGGGGAAUAUUGGACAAUGGGCGAAAGCCUGAUCCAGCCAUGCCGCGUGUGUGAAGAAGGUCUUCGGAUUGUAAAGCACUUUAAGUUGGGAGGAAGGGCAGUAAGUUAAUAACCUUGCUGUUUUGACGUUUACCGACAGAAUAAGCACCGGCUAACUCUGUGCCAGCAG
This 514-nucleotide ribosomal RNA is filed under the name bacterium enrichment culture clone ALO1_GLFRUDD03HB2BA. RNAcentral describes it as "bacterial SSU rRNA". It matches the Rfam family "Bacterial small subunit ribosomal RNA", at positions 9 to 514 of the family's 1533-position model. The record is from RNAcentral.